RNAcentral lists this ribosomal RNA (216 nucleotides) under Glomeromycotina sp. RNAcentral's name for it is "partial small subunit ribosomal RNA". The stretch from base 40 to 216 matches the Rfam family "Eukaryotic small subunit ribosomal RNA", at positions 686 to 864 of the family's 1831-position model. Lineage: Eukaryota; Fungi; Glomeromycota. The record is from RNAcentral.
GGGUCAGUAGGUUGGUCGUGCCACCGGUACGUACUGGUCUCAUUGAUUCCUCCUUCCUGAAGAACCUUAAUGCCAUUAAUUUGGUGUUGCGGGGAAACAGGACUGUUACUUUGAAAAAAUUAGAGUGUUUAAAGCAAGCUAACGCUUGAAUACAUUAGCAUGGAAUAAUGAAAUAGGACGAUCGAUCCUAUUUUGUUGGUUUCUAGGAUUGACUUA